RNAcentral lists this ribosomal RNA (253 nucleotides) under uncultured bacterium. RNAcentral's name for it is "partial 16S ribosomal RNA". It matches the Rfam family "Bacterial small subunit ribosomal RNA", at positions 524 to 776 of the family's 1533-position model. The record is from RNAcentral.
UACGGAGGGGGCUAGCGUUGUUCGGAAUUACUGGGCGUAAAGAGCGUGUAGGCGGCCGUGCAAGUCAGAGGUGAAAUGCCCGGGCUCAACCCGGGAAUGGCCUUUGAUACUGCUCGGCUCGAGAACAGGAGAGGACAGCGGAAUUCCAAGUGUAGAGGUGAAAUUCGUAGAUAUUUGGAAGAACACCAGUGGCGAAGGCGGCUGUCUGGCCUGUUUCUGACGCUGAGACGCGAAAGCGUGGGGAGCGAACAGG